UAUAAGUGCAACCAUAAGUUUCCACGCCCAACUUUGAUCGUUCGUCUUAUUUGAAAGUUUUUUAUAAUUAAUAUUUUUAUUGUUAUGAGAUGAUAAAAUAUAAAUAGUACUUUACUCGUGACUUAAGUUUUUAAAUUUUUUCAAAAAUUUUUCAAAUAAGACGGACGGUCAAAGUUGGGCGCGGAAAACCAUGGCUGCACUUAUA
MicroRNA precursor from Oryza sativa Indica Group (long-grained rice), 205 nucleotides. It matches the Rfam family "MIR812 microRNA precursor family". The record is from Rfam. NCBI's taxonomy places the organism in Eukaryota, Viridiplantae, Streptophyta, Magnoliopsida, Poales, Poaceae.